UAGGAUUCUUUGAGGUUACAAAUGUCAGUGAUUUAUAAGUUCAUGGAAAAAUUAAGUAAAAGUUAGAUAUUUAAUUUUUUGUGAAUAAACCGAGGGUCGAAAGGCACAUCAUCCUUCGGAUCCUCUUUUGAACCCAUAUACAUUGAACACUUAAGUUUUUAGAAUAUCUCAGAAAAAGUAAUUCAGGGGUUAUUGUUAUUCAACACUCCUAUAAUCUAAUAUAAGUAUAACACAUUUCGUUUACAAUUUUUACAUGAUUUUAGUUUGUACUGUGGUACAUUAUCAUUCUUAAAAAACAAAAAAACUCUGGAAAAAAAUAAAGGUAUUUGUUAUCACAUCUU
Molecule: long non-coding RNA, 341 nt
Organism: Saccostrea cuccullata (small rock oyster)
Lineage: Eukaryota; Metazoa; Mollusca; Bivalvia; Ostreida; Ostreidae
Exons: 2
Source: RefSeq, a predicted model, not a curated record